Molecule: ribosomal RNA, 626 nt
Filed under: Pyramidobacter piscolens
Lineage: Bacteria; Thermotogati; Synergistota; Synergistia; Synergistales; Dethiosulfovibrionaceae
Description: bacterial SSU rRNA
Rfam family: Bacterial small subunit ribosomal RNA
Source: RNAcentral
AGCCUGACCCAGCGACGCCGCGUGAGGGAAGACAGCCUUCGGGUUGUAAACCUCUGUUGCAGGGGAAGAAGGAAGCGACGGUACCCUGCGAGGAAGCUCCGGCUAACUACGUGCCAGCAGCCGCGGUAAUACGUAGGGAGCGAGCGUUGUCCGGAAUUACUGGGCGUAAAGGGCGCGUAGGCGGCGCUUCAAGUCGUCUGUCAAAAGCCGAGGCUCAACCUCGGCGCGCAGACGAAACUGGAGAGCUUGAGAAGCAGAGAGGCAAACAGAAUUCCUGGUGUAGCGGUGAAAUGCGUAGAUAUCAGGAAGAAUACCAGUGGCGAAGGCGGUUUGCUGGCUGCAUACUGACGCUGAAGCGCGAAAGCCAGGGGAGCAAACGGGAUUAGAUACCCCGGUAGUCCUGGCAGUAAACGAUGUAUGCUGGGUGUGGGACUAGCGAUAGUUCCGUGCCGAAGUUAACGCGAUAAGCAUACCGCCUGGGGAGUACGGUCGCAAGAUUGGAACUCAAAGGAAUUGACGGGGGCCCGCACAAGCGGUGGAGCACGUGGUUUAAUUCGAUGCAAACCGAAGAACCUUACCUGGACUUGACAUCCACGCGGUAGAGAAGCGAAAGCGGAUCGACCCUU